CAUGUAGGGUCUAUAUGGGCUUAUUUAGGGUCAAUAGGGUCUAUAUGGCCCUUUUGGGGUCAAUAUGGGCCCUUUUUGGGGUCAAUAUGGGCUUAUUUAGGGUCAAUAUGGGCCAUUUAGGGUCAAUAUGGGCCUAUUUGGGGUCAAUAGGGUCUAUAUGGGUCCAUUUAUGGUCUAUAUGGCACUUUUGGGGUCUAUAUGGGUCAAUAUGGGCCCAUUUAUGGUCAAUAUGGGUCUAUAUGGCCCUUUUGGAGUCAAUAUGGGCCUAUUUAGGGUCAAUAUGGGUCUAUAUGGGCUUAUUUAGGGUCAAUAUGGGUCUAUAUGGCCCUUUUGGGGUCAAUAUGGGCCCUUUUGGGAUCAAUACAGGCAUAUUUAGGGUCAAUAUGGGCCCUUUUGGGGUC
RNAcentral lists this long non-coding RNA (401 nucleotides) under Coturnix japonica (Japanese quail). RNAcentral describes it as "lncRNA (ENSCJPG00005002120.1)". Lineage: Eukaryota; Metazoa; Chordata; Aves; Galliformes; Phasianidae. The record is from RNAcentral.